This 1400-nucleotide long non-coding RNA is filed under the name Bos indicus x Bos taurus (hybrid cattle). RNAcentral's name for it is "lncRNA (ENSBIXG00005012071.1)". Lineage: Eukaryota; Metazoa; Chordata; Mammalia; Artiodactyla; Bovidae. The record is from RNAcentral.
GGCGAUCCCCGCCCCGCCCCUCCCUCCGGCUCCCGACGGAGGCUCCGCCCCCAGCCCGAGACUUGGCGCCGUCCGACCCGGGAGCGAGCGCCCCUUUGCACCCUUCUCCAAGGAUGGCCCCGCGGGGCUCUGCAGGGACGAGUUUCGGUGUCUGCAGCCUUCCCUUUCCCAUAACGUGCGCGUAGAAAGCUUUCUGUGGAACGUUACCUCUGAGGCCAGUUGCCAAAACCCAACCAUAAGGGUGUCAUCCCAUGGACCAUAUCUUAGAGGUUUUUACUUACAAGUGAGAACAAGAAUGAAUGCAUUAAAAAGUGAUUUUGUCCAGAUAACUUCAGGAUAUAGAAAGCCAUUUACUUUGUCUACCAAGAGGACCCAAUUCUGCAUCUCCAGCUGCAACUGAUCUGUAAGAUUUGGAAGACUCCCAGGAGUGUUGACCGGGGUAUCUGGGAUUAAUGGUUGACCCCCAUUACACAUCCAGAACCCUACUCCCCCAUCUACUUCUCAGAUUUGGCCUUCAGCCAAAGAGCUCCUCAUUGCAAAGUUUAAGAAUGUGACAUAUACAAACAUGAUCACAGAAUGCAUUCCAUAUGCUGGCUUUUGGGUCACACAGAAUGGAGAUGUUAAGAAUAUGUUAAUAUGGUUGCUUUUAAGACAACUUUGUAUUGUGGUUUUUGCUUUCCUAAAUGCCUGAAGUCUUUCUUAUUGUGCCAAAUUUAGCAAGAAAUCUAGAAAAUGAAAGGCAGUAGUGGAACUAAAAUAUUCAAAUUUUAACUCAUAUAAUAUACCAUUGAGUUUCACAUAUUAUAAAAACUUAAUAUGAUUCAGAUAAGUCUGGUAGUGUCAAAACCUUCAAAUCCAUAAAAUACAGUACGUAGUAAGUAACUCAGAUGUUUAUUAAGCAUCUACUAUAUACAAAGCUCCAUUCUAUGUAUUUUGUAAGAACUACAAAGGGAAUAUUAUAUUGAUUCAGGCCUUCAAGGAGUGUACAGUUGAACUGGGUAUAAAGGAGAGGAAUAAUGCUCAUAUAAGCCUGUAGUGAAUGCAAGGAUUAGAGCUCUCUUAUUAUAUAUGAGAGAAGGAAAAGUCUGAGUACUUCUUUUAAGCUGUUUUACUGUCACAAAGGUGAGGUAUAUUUUAAAAAUAUGGUACAUUUUGCCAUGGAUUCCUUGCUAUAUUUGUGUAUGUAUGUGUGUGCCUUCUUAGUAUUUGUUUCUGUGAUUUGAUUAUAAUGUGUAUAGUUACAUAUUUUUAAAACUCUAAUCUUUGAAUGUAUUGAUCUUUCAGAUAAGAUAAUUUGAAUGUUUUGGCAGUAACAGAAAAUUUUUAGCCAUUUUCAAUUUGAAUAUUGCCUCUUCUCCAUUCUCUUUAUUGCAACCCUCAUAAAACCUGGUUGUGAUUUG